This is a non-coding RNA of Podospora fimiseda, 113 nucleotides long. NCBI's taxonomy places the organism in Eukaryota, Fungi, Ascomycota, Sordariomycetes, Sordariales, Podosporaceae. The record is from the annotation of a GenBank genome assembly.
GUCCCCGUAGCUUAGCGUUCAGCGUUUGUGUGCUUUUCUUCAGCGUAAUAUAUUUAUCCAGCGAAUUUGAUUUAAGGCAGCGAAAGACGUCGGUUCGAAUCCGACCGGGGACA